CCUAUAUCCAUAAGCUGUCACUCUUCAUUCUCCCCUACAUCCAGCUCCUGGCAACUGCUAAUCUGCUUUCUGUCUCUAUGGAUUUGCCUAUUCUGAACAUUUCACAUACAUGGAGUCAUAUGGAAGAAAGGAAAAAAGGAAGAGGAUCUUCUCUGAAACUCAUGACUCAGUUCAUGGCCCGACAGUAACAUGGCCCACCUUCCCUGCCUCUGGAGGUGCCCUCCCCAGUAAAAUCUGGAGCAUCCCAAGAAUCUGUACAAGUUCACAGUCAGCAUUCUUUACCAUCAUGGGAGCAGCUCUCAGGAAACAAGCUGAAUGCUGUUAGGCGGAUUAUAAACACAGUCUCAAGUUGCUCGAGGCAUAUGGCAUACGUCUAAACUGUUAAACAACCUCUUCCUGGUGUUCAUAUGUCAAUCUCCUUCUAGUCUACAUGCCAACCCUUUACUGGACGCUUGACCCUAUCUUUUCAGCCCUUCCAUUCUACUUUCACUGCACGCUUAGGCCAACUUCUGUCUUGAAGUCCCCUAAGUCCCUGGAGAAAGGUGAUCUCUUUAUUUUGGCCUCACACCCACUCCCUUUGGCCUCAGGUUGAAAUUCCUCUCCUAAAAGUCACUUGCACCUGAACCAGGCCCCGCCUUUGCCCCUGGGGAUCCUCAUAAGCACCUUCUCUAGAUUCUGAGGACAGGCCCCUCACUCUGUUUCUGCGACAGGGUUGCCCAUCUCUCUUAAUGGUCUGCCUCUUGCCUGCUCCCCACCCGUCCCCAGCCUGCCUGGCCAGGGGUCAUCAGCCAACCAAGGAUCACAGUGUCCCAAGCCACAGCUCUCGUCUCCUACCACCAGUUUGUAACUGGGACACAUUCAAAUAGAACAGCAACACAAGGGUGUUUUAUUUGAAAUCUGUUGCCUUGGGUGAGCUCUACCAGGCCCCCACACCUCAAAUCCUCCUAGAUCCUAGAAGAAAGAAGCUGUUUUCACUUUGUAAAGCACACAGCUGCCACUCUGCCAUGAGGCCCCCAGCUUACUACAGGUGAGAACGUGGCAGGUAUUUUCCUGAGAAACAGUAGCCGGGAUGGAAAAGUCCUUGGGGAAGUGUGGGGCGUGUGUGUAGGGGUGGCCGGUGCUGAGUGGUGACUCCAUACCUUCUGCAAAUGAUGGAAGAACAGGAAAAUCCUGAUUACAGUGAUAGAAACAUCAUUCUAGGGAUAUCAAACGUUGGCCUCAAAGAAACCGCUAAAAGCAGUCAGCGAUCUUAAGCCAUUUGAGUCCUUUAUUUUACAACGCGGUGUAAAUCGAGGAAUAUCAGUGCAUCCUACUAGUUGCAGCAAAUGGCAGUCAAGAGUCUUGUCUUCUGCUGCCACCUUGUGUUUAAGAAAAAAAGUCUCAGUUCAUAGAAUUGCUCUGACAUUGCGAAACCAGCAUUUUAGAGCUGGAAGAGGUUUUAGAAAUUCUCUAGUCCAACUCCCUAUAAUUCACAGAUAGGGAAACCGAGACCCAGACUGGAACCAAGAGCCCCUUGCUCAUUCCCCUGAGCCACACCACUUCUCUGGACAAUGACACUCACAGCAUAAGGGCUCGGGUCAAGUCCUCAACAACUUAGGCCAUUGAUGUACGUGGCAGCAAAAACCAGCCCGUCCAAAUCUGUACGUGUCUCAUCCAGGAAGAACAUUUCCAAGGAACUGCAGUUGUGUGUGACGGGGCCAAGUAAGCGAUCAUGAGAGCUACCAUUUACAGAGCACUCGCUACGGAUCAGGUACUGUGUUAAGUACUGUCUAUUGUCUCACUGAAUUCUUCCAGUCACCUGUGAGGUAACAACGAUUAUUAUCUCCGUCUUACACUUAAGGAAACUGAGGCUUAGAGUGGUUAAGUAACUGCCCAAAGUCACACAGCCACACCAGGUAGAGAGAGAAUUCCAACUCAGGUCUGUACAGUACAAAGUCUGCUCUUAACUCUGUCAUUACUCAACACAUUGACUUUACCCCAUCUAGCUUCACUUCACAAGGUUCAAGCUAGGAGACAUCCCUCAAGCGCCCAUUCACUCACUGCCUCUCUGUGUGCACAUCCUGUGAUGGUCCUUCCUUUUGCUCUCCUGUACUGUGGUCCUCAGACCAGCAGCUUCAUCAUCACCGACAAACUAGUUAGAAAUGCAAACUCUCCCCUAGCACACCAGCCCUACUGACUCAGGAGCUCCAGGGCUUGGGUUUGCCUAUCUGAGCUUUAACAAGCCCUCAGGGGACUUUGAUGCUGCCCAAGUUUGUGAUCUACAGCUAUAGAACAUCCAGGUACGCCAACAAUGGUGUGAAGUUGAAGAAAGAAUGGAUACAGUAAUUUAGGUAUCUGCCUAAACACAAAAAACAGAGAGAACAGAUUUGAUUUAGGAGAAGCCAAACUCCAAUCUUAUUUAGCCAGAGGGAAAAGGCUCCUGGAAUUUUUGCAGUUUCUUCUAAAUCCCUCUUGACUCCUUACCUUAUGGCCUUGAGAGACAAGGGUCUGCCACCCACCAAAAGACAUAGAAAAGGAAGAGCUGCCUCAGAGCACAGGUGGAACCAAUAGAAGAGGAGAAAAACCGCCCUGCCUCCCCCACCUCACGCUGACAUUCGGCACUGCCAUCAUAAUGUGGGGGGGACCCUGGCUAAGUGCUAUAUCAGUAAAGUUCCUGGCCUUUUGCUCAGUGUCCUAAAAUUCUCAAACCACUUUUUAAUAACAUAUUUUUUUGAUGAUAAAAGUAAUCUAUGUUAAUAGUCUGAAAACUUUAGAAAAAUAAGAAAACUAUAAAGAAAGUUAAAAACCACUCAUUCCUCUAUUCCUCAGGGAUAACAUUAUUAACUAUUUCGUAUAUUUCCUUCUAGCUUUCUUCUAUGCAGAGAUAAGCAUUUUUAUGGCACAUUUAAGUUGAUUUCAACAUUUUGUGCUAUAAAAUAAUACUGAUGAGAUCUUCAUAUAUAAAUCUUUGCCUGAAUAUUUUAUGAUAGAGUUCUAGAAAGGGAAUUAUAGGGUUAAAGGUUACAACUUUUAUUGAGGCUUUUGUUACUGGCAAACUGAGUUCAGAGAGCAUGUGCCAUUUUACAGUCCCCUCAAUAGCACAGGAAAGUGCCCAUUUUAACUCUUCCUCCUCAACUUUGGAAGUGUUCAGAAUUUCUCAACUUUGCUGACAGUAAUCUGAAUUUUGGCAAUAUUCCAGGAUUUGGAAGAUGAGAACAACAUGUAUCUUAUUAUCGUUUUCUAUCUGAGAAUUCCAGACCGAGGGCAACCUAAAUCAUCGGAUAAGAACAAGUUCACUUUGGAAUAUAUUAAACUCUAUAUGGAAAAAAUUAGAAAAAUGUCUAAAAAUUCCCAGUGGAGUAUUUAAAGAGCCUAAGAAGUACCUGCUAAUUAUCCUUACUAACCUGUUUACAUAAAAAUAACUUUUUAAAUGCUUUAAAUCAGGAUUCAAAAACUUAAAUGUUCUCAGGAGUCUGGCAGGUAAAUAAAUUAAUAAAACAGACUGGAGAAAUAAAAUAGGCAGCAGUUCACAGUAAAUGUAGAUUGUAUACCAGAGGAAAGGAAUUCAAAUUCAUAUUUAAAAAGUAAUCUACAUACACUUGUAAUGAGCAAUCUGAAAAUGAAGUUUAAAAAUAAUUCCAUUUAUAAUGGCAUAAAAAGAAGAAAAUACUUAAGAAUAAAAUUAACAAAAUAAAUGCAAAACAUAUACUCUGAAGCUACAAAACACUAUCAAAAGAAAUUAAAGAAGGCCCAAUUAAAUGGAAGGACAUCCCAUGUUCAUGGACUGGGAAACUUAAUAUUGUGAAGAUGGCAAUAUUCCCCAAAUUGAUCUACAGAUUCAAUGCAAUCCCUAUCAAAAUCCCGUUUGGCUUCUUUGCAGAAACUGACAAGCUAAUUCUAAAAUUCAUAUGUAAAUAGUUUUGAAAAAGAAGAACAAAGUUGGAGGACUAACACUUUUCAAUUAAAAACCUGCCAGAAAGUCAUCCAGACAGUAUGGUACUGGCAGGAGGACUGAAAUAAAUAGAAUGGAAUAGAAUUGAGAGUCCAAAAGUAAACCUUCAUAUUUAUGUCCAAUUGAUUUUUGACAUGGGCACCGAGAUAGUUAAAUCGGGAAAAGAACAAUCAUUUCAACAAACAGUGCUGGGACAACUGGAUAUCCACAGGUAGAAGAGGAAGUUAGACACUUACCUCAUACCAUAUUAAAAAAUUGACUCAAAACAUCAAAGACCUAAAUGUAAGAACUAAAACAGUAAAGGUUUUAGAAGAAAACAUAGGCAUAAAUCUUCAUGAUGCUGAAUUAGACAAUGGUUUCUUGGAUGUGACAGCAAAAGCACAAGUAACAAAAGAAAAAAAAUUGAUAAAUUGGACAUUACCAAAAUCUAAAGCUUUUCUGUUUCCAAUGACACCAUCAAGAAAGUACAAAGACAACCCUCAGAAUGGGUAAGUCAUAUAUCUGAUAAGGGGCUUGCAUCCAGAAUAUGUAAAGAACUCUUAGAACUCAACAAGAAAAAGAUAACCCAGUUUUCUAAAUGGGCAAAGGACUUGUACAGACAUUUCUCUAAAGAAGAUAUACAAAUGGCCAAUAAGCACGUGAAAAGAUGCAUAACAUCAUUAACCAUUGGGGAAAUGCAAAUCAAAACCGCAAUGACAUAUAACUUUACACCUAGUAGGAUUGCUAUAAUCCAAAGGAUUGGAUUGGUGAGGAUGUGGAGAAAUUGGAGCCCACAUACCCUGUUGGUGGGAAUGUGAAACGGUGCAGCUGCUUUAGAAAACAGUUUUGGUAACCUAACGUAAGGUUCGUUUUUGUAUGUGUUGCUCAUACUUGGUCACGUCAAUUUAUCUGGAGGCACGUUUGGAUUUAUCUUCAUGAUGUUAUUCAGAUCUACAUCCUUCUUUUUUUUUUUGCAUGAGGAAGAUUGUCGCUGAGCUAACAUCUGUUGCCAAUCUUCCUCUUUUUGCUUGAGGAAGAUUGUCACUGAGCUAACAUCUGUGCCCAUCUGCCUCUAUUUUAUGUGGGAUGCUGCCACAGCAUGGCUUGACAAGUGGUACUACAUUUCCACCCAGGAUCUGAACCUGUGAACCCUGGGCCGAUGAAGCAGAGUGUGUGAACUUAACCACUACGCCACCAGGCCGGCCCCAUUCCACAUCCUUCUUAGUUUUUCUCUGUUGGAUCAGAUAUGGACUAACAGAGGUGACUAAAAUCUUCUCCUUUUAUUCUUUCUCCUUUUUUAUUUUUUCUCCUUUCUCCUUUUAUUCUUUAUGAUUGCAUAAAGUUAUAUGAAAACUCUAUUGUCAUUGUAAAUUGCAACUUUUUCAUUACUCAUUUAUCUCUUCGUCUCAUUUAAGAUUCAAGUUCAGUCUUGUUUGACAUUAAUAAUGUGGAUCUAGGUUUCUCUUGUUAGUAUUUACCUUUUUAUACCUUUUUCUAAUCUUCUGGGUAUUGGGGAGAUAGCCAAAUAUACAAAUAUGUAAUUAAAUUAUCUUUACAUAAAAGGGAAGAGUGGGAGGGGGAGUAAAGGGGAGUACUGUAAGAGAGCUAAAUUUUCAUCUUCUACAAUAGAAAGUCAAUAAUUAGUACCUACACCUAAAAAAAUCAAGAAAAAAGCCAUAUAGGCAUGUUAUUAAAAAUAUGGUUGCAAAUAUAAAAGGAAAUGGUUGAGUGAAUCGAGAAUUCCUUACGGAAUCGAGAAUGAGGUAGGAUGGAAUCGGGGGAGGAGAGGGUACUAGUACCUGUAGUACGUUGUUUUAGGAUACUGUAUUCUACGUGCCCCUCCCUGCUCUCUGGGUCCACUGCAAAGAUUAUUCAUAAUAUUCAUACAUGCCGUUUAUUGAGAAGCUCCUAUGUAACAGGCUAAGUAUUAUCUGUAUAUAAAGUGGGAGUAAAGCCAAGCCCUGGGAAAGUGCUGUAGUGUUGAGUCCUAGAGUCAAAACAGGAGUGGACAUCUCAAAAGAUCCGGAAAAAAGUAUUUGAUCAAAUUCAACACCCAUUCAUGGUUUCAAACAAAAUCUUAGGAAACUAGGAAUGGAAGGGAACUUCCUUAAAUCUCCUUUAAUCUUCUCAAGAACCUUAGUAAGGUAGGUACUAUUAUUAUUGCCAUUUAUCAGAUAAGGAAUCUUAAGUUCACAGGGCUUGUAAGUGGCCACACUCUGCCUGACUCCAUGACAUGAGGACUUUCUACCCCCAGGUUCACGGUAGAGGGACACAGGUACACAAAGUAGUUCUUAGAAUGGAAAGAAGAAAAUGCAAAGCUAUACUCUUCAGACAUUCUCUUAUGUCCACAAGAGGGCACUCGGGCUCAUUCAAAUUCCAGUCCAAUGUCGAAAGAAUGAAGUAAUUGUAUAGUAUCAAACUGUUUAAAUAUUAAUAAAUUUGAAGGCCCAUGAGUGUGUAUUUUCCGGGGUUCAUCUGCGACGUGGGUCAG
This is a long non-coding RNA of Equus asinus (donkey), 6401 nucleotides long. The record is from Ensembl. NCBI's taxonomy places the organism in Eukaryota, Metazoa, Chordata, Mammalia, Perissodactyla, Equidae.